CACUGAAUGGAGGACCGAACCGACUUACGUUGAAAAGUGAGCGGAUGAACUGAGGGUAGCGGAGAAAUUCCAAUCGAACCUGGAGAUAGCUGGUUCUCUCCGAAAUAGCUUUAGGGCUAGCCUCAAGUGAUGAUUAUUGGAGGUAGAGCACUGUUUGGACGAGGGGCCCCUCUCGGGUUACCGAAUUCAGACAAACUCCGAAUGCCAAUUAAUUUAACUUGGGAGUCAGAACAUGGGUGAUAAGGUCCGUGUUCGAAAGGGAAACAGCCCAGACCACCAGCUAAGGUCCCAAAAUAUAUGUUAAGUGGAAAAGGAUGUGGCGUUGCCCAGACAACUAGGAUGUUGGCUUAGAAGCAGCCAUCAUUUAAAGAGUGCGUAAUAGCUCACUAGUCGAGUGACACUGCGCCGAAAAUGUACCGGGGCUAAACAUAUUACCGAAGCUGUGGAUUGUCCUUUGGACAAUGGUAGGAGAGCGUUCUAAGGGCGUUGAAGCAUGAUCGUAAGGACAUGUGGAGCGCUUAGAAGUGAGAAUGCCGGUGUGAGUAGCGAAAGACGGGUGAGAAUCCCGUCCACCGAUU
Molecule: ribosomal RNA, 578 nt
Filed under: Staphylococcus aureus
Lineage: Bacteria; Bacillati; Bacillota; Bacilli; Caryophanales; Staphylococcaceae
Description: partial 23S ribosomal RNA
Rfam family: Bacterial large subunit ribosomal RNA
Source: RNAcentral